UACAGAGGGGGCAAGCGUUGUUCGGAAUUACUGGGCGUAAAGGGCGCGUAGGCGGCCUGUUAAGUCGAACGUGAAAUCCCCGGGCUCAACCCGGGAACUGCGUCCGAUACUGGCAGGCUUGAAUUCGGGAGAGGGAUGUGGAAUUCCAGGUGUAGCGGUGAAAUGCGUAGAUAUCUGGAGGAACACCGGUGGCGAAGGCGGCAUCCUGGACCGGUAUUGACGCUGAGGCGCGAAAGCCAGGGGAGCAAACGGG
Molecule: ribosomal RNA, 253 nt
Filed under: uncultured bacterium
Lineage: Bacteria
Description: partial 16S ribosomal RNA
Rfam family: Bacterial small subunit ribosomal RNA
Source: RNAcentral